UACGGGGGGAGCAAGCGUUGUUCGGAUUUACUGGGCGUAAAGGGUGCGUAGGCGGCGCGGUAAGUCGGGUGUGAAAUCUCGGGGCUUAACUCCGAAACUGCAUUCGAUACUGCCGUGCUUGAGGACUGGAGAGGAGACUGGAAUUUACGGUGUAGCGGUGAAAUGCGUAGAUAUCUGGAGGAACACCGGUGGCGAAGGCGGCGUUCUGGACUGUAACUGACACUGAUGAACGAAAGCCAGGGGAGCGAACGGG
This 253-nucleotide ribosomal RNA is filed under the name uncultured bacterium. RNAcentral's name for it is "partial 16S ribosomal RNA". It matches the Rfam family "Bacterial small subunit ribosomal RNA", at positions 524 to 776 of the family's 1533-position model. The record is from RNAcentral.